UAUUGGACAAUGGGCGAAAGCCUGAUCCAGCCAUGCCGCGUGUGUGAAGAAGGUCUUCGGAUUGUAAAGCACUUUAAGUUGGGAGGAAGGGGUUGAAGCUAAUACCUUCAAUCUUUGACGUUACCAACAGAAUAAGCACCGGCUAACUCUGUUCCACCAGCCGCGGUAAUACAGAGGGUGCAAGUGUUAAUCGGAAUUACUGGGCGUAAAGCGCGCGUAGGUGGUUUGUUAAGUUAGAAGUGAAAGCCCCGGGCUCAACCUGGGAACUGCUUUCAAAACUGGCAAGCUAGAGUAUGGCAGAGGGUGGUGGAAUUUCCUGUGUAGCGGUGAAAUGCGUAGAUAUAGGAAGGAACACAAGUGGCGAAGGCGACUACCUGGACGAAAACUGACGCUGAGGCACGAAAGCUAGGGGAGCAAAC
This 419-nucleotide ribosomal RNA is filed under the name uncultured bacterium. RNAcentral describes it as "partial 16S ribosomal RNA". It matches the Rfam family "Bacterial small subunit ribosomal RNA", at positions 362 to 773 of the family's 1533-position model. The record is from RNAcentral.